RNAcentral lists this long non-coding RNA (562 nucleotides) under Zalophus californianus (California sea lion). RNAcentral's name for it is "lncRNA (ENSZCAG00015005493.1)". Lineage: Eukaryota; Metazoa; Chordata; Mammalia; Carnivora; Otariidae. The record is from RNAcentral.
CCCUGCAAGGAGGCCGAGACGUGAAAUGAGGCUCCUGGAGCGGGUGUGUUUGAGACAUGCAACAAUUUGCAAAGGGUAGACAUGGCAGAGGAAGAAUUUCCAUCAGAGAAAAAGAAAACCAGGAGAAGACUGUGCAUCUGCAUAAAUGUCUUUGAAGAAGAGCAUUCCUCCAGGCCUCUAGAAGGGAAGCAAUGGCUUCAGGACAGAGUUGAAUUAAUUGCCCACUAAAUUAUGUUUGCCUACUUACUGUUGCAAUUAUAAGAGAGGCUGUAAAGAGUGUGGGCUGAGGUGGACGGUACCACUGGACUCUAACUCAGAUCUGAGUAACCCUGGACAACUUAUUUAAGCUCUCCAGGCCUCCGCUACCUCCUCUACAAGAUGAAGGAAUUAAAAAAUUGUCCUAAGUAUUAAACGGGAUAAUGCAUGUAGAGUGCAGAGGCUAGAGGUCAGCAGAUUGUAAGCACUCAAAAAUGGUAGCUAUUGGUACACAAAGUGCUGAUUAUUCACUAAAAUCCCAUUUUCUACAGACGAUCACAUUAUAUUCUGUCAUGCAACCUACUUC